AUAGCGUAUAUUAAAGUUGUUGCAGUUAAAAAGCUCGUAGUUGAACUUCAGGCCUGACCGGGUGGUCCGCCUAACGGCGUGUACUGUCCGGCCGGGCCUUACCUCUUGGUGAGCCGGCAUGCCCUUUAUUGGGUGCGUUGGUGAACCAGGACCUUUACCUUGAGAAAAUUAGAGUGUUCAAAGCAGGCCUAUGCCCGAAUACAUUAGCAUGGAAUAAUAAAAUAGGACGUGCGGUUCUAUUUUGUUGGUUUCUAGAGUCGCCGUAAUGAUUAAUAGGGAUAGUUGGGGGCAUUGGUAUUGAGUCGCUAGAGGUGAAAUUCUUGGAUUGACUCAAGACCAACUAUUG
This 346-nucleotide ribosomal RNA is filed under the name uncultured eukaryote. Its description in RNAcentral is "SSU rRNA". It matches the Rfam family "Eukaryotic small subunit ribosomal RNA", at positions 594 to 945 of the family's 1831-position model. The record is from RNAcentral.